GAUUCGUCACGGCGAAGAGGGCCGAGGAGGCCCGACCUAACACAGAAUAGGCCUGGGUUUAGCGGCUGUGAGGAGCCGGAGCCGCCGCAGCGACCGAGGAAGUGGCGGGAGGUGCCGAGCCUUGCGGAGGGGCGGUGGGGGCCGCGGUGGGAGACGGCGGAUGGCGCUCAGCGCGAGGCCGCGGAACCACUGUGGCAGCAAGCAGUUCGGCCAGACUCCCGCUGAGCCCGCUCCUGGAGGGGCCCUCCCCGACUCCGGUCUUGCUUUCCUUUAGGCUGUGGGUCAGAGUCUACACUUCACUAAACCUGGGAUGGAGGCGUGGAGGACUUGCUUCGCGGCGUUUGCGUCCUCGCAGGCGCCUCGCAGGGCUUCCUGCCCUCACGGCGGGGGAGUAGCUUUGGCGAAAAUCAGCACGAGUUCUGCAGUUUUUCCAAGCGCUUUUAGGGUGUAAUCGUCCCAGGUUUCUAAGCCAAGGCCCGGAGAGUUGACCCCCUCGCAACAGCUUGUGUGUCCUUGCAGCGCCGCGGGUGCCACCUGGUCUCCGCCUCAGCGCUGCCUCGGCUCCUUCGGUUCCCACCAGCGGGAACGACCGUCCCCACUUUCAGCUUAAACUCAUCUGUCCUUCUGGAUCCAGCUCAGAGGUCUCUUUGUGAUGCCCUCCUGGAACUUCCCCCCUAGUAAUCCUUCCUUUGUAUUCCCGUGGCUCUUUGAUAAUAAUGGUUGGAGUCCUGAACCCGACCCUUUGUAUCGGACCGUGUUUGUCAUCUCCAGUGCUUUAUGAAGGCCUUGAAAGCAAGGUUCAGCCGUCUGUAUUGGUCAUCUUCCCAUUGCCAGUGCCUACGAAGGGCUUGACCCAUUCAUUGUUAGACGCUCAGUAAGUGUGUAUUGAGGCAGCCCUCUGUGCCACUCCAGGGCUCUUUCCACUAAAUCAUGAGUAUGUUGGUUUACCAGAUGGAAUGAGUAGCCUCUUCUUUGGAUACAUAAACACCCGAUGGAUAUUGUGGGUCACUGUGGAGGGAGAAUGAACGUAUGGGAUCCCUGACCUGUGGUUACUGGAAAACAGUUGACAUUUAGAGAGAGGCUGAAUUCUUGGGCUUCCCGUAGCCCCCAUCCUGAGUGUGCCAACAGGGACUAGAAGCAUCUCUAGUCUGCAAAGCGAGGAACAAGUGAUACUCUGUCCAAUUUUUCCAAUAUUGUUAUACUCAUGAAUAGAGAUUAAUGAAAUUGAAGAGCAUAUUCAAGAGAAAGACUAAAGGAGAAGUCGUCUGCCCCGUGGACAGGCAGCUUGAGUGGUGCUUGAGAAAAUGUACAUGAAAUUGCUUGUUAAAAAAUAUUCACGCCUGUAAUCCCAGCUCUUUUUAAAAUUGCAUCUCAUUCCCCAACCCCCGGUGUCUGUUCAUGGCCUGUGCUUUACUUUUUCUGUAGCACUUGUCGCUACCUAACAUACUAUACUUCUUAUGAAUUUAUUUUGUUUUGUCUUUUUCUUCUUCUUUUCUUUUUUUUUUUGAGACGGAGUUUCGCUCUUAUUGCCCAGGCUGGAGUGCAAUGGCGCGAUCUUGGCUCACUACGACCUCCGUCUCCCGAGUUCAAGUGAUUCUCCUGCCUCAGCCUCCCAAGUAGCUGGGAUUACGGCAUGUGCCACCACACCCUGCUAAUUUUGUAUUUUUAGUAGAGACGAGGUUUCACCAUGUUGGUCAGGCUGGUCUUGGACUCCUGACCUCAAGUGAUCCACCGCCUCGGCCUCCCAAAGUGCUGGAUUACAGGCAUGAGCCACCGCACCCAGCCGUCUUUUUUUUCCCAUCAGGGUGGAGAUUUUGACAUCUGGAACAGUACACAGCACAUUUAGAUGCUCAAUACUUGUGGAGUAAAUAAAUGAAUGACUCAUUUUCUUCGCUUGGUUCUUUCUCUACCAAAGAUUUGAAAAAUUAAGAAACACCAGCCUGGCAACAUAGGGAGACCCCAUCUCUUAAAAAAAAAAUUAGCCAGGUGCGGUGGUGCACAUUUGUGGUCUCAGUUAUUUGGGACGCUGAGGUGGGAGGAUCGCUUGAGCCUGGGAGGUCAAGGCUGCAGUGAGCCAUGAUCAUGCCACUGCACUCCACCCUGGGUGACAGAGGCCCUUUCUAAAAAAAAAAAAAAAGAAAAGAAAGAAGGAUAUAGGCAAGAGAUAAUAGAAAAAUAAUCUGUUCUCUAGUCCUGAAGAAACUAAAACUGAAGAGUGAAUUAUCCAGCAAGAUGGACUUUACUUAUUAUGAGUUUUUUUCCCCCAAAGCAAACACCAGAACAUAUGCUCUUGCCUUUAGAAGGAUAUUUAUGGUAACUACAGGACAGAUGUUUGGAGUUGUGAUUAUUCCCAGAAAAUUUGGGAUACAGCAUCAAUAUGACUAUUUAAACUAAAUAUAACUAUAAGGGUAGUUGGGAGCACUCACGUGGGACCAGUGGUUAACCCCAGAGAUAAUCUUAGGCCCAAUUAAGACCUAACUUAGGCCUUAGUUUUCAUUCUGGCAGCAAGAUCCAGAAACGUGGCCUGCUUUCCCCUCUGACACUACUCAUACUUUUUUGGGGUUCUUCUUUCCCCAAGACAGGGAAGCCAAAACUAAGUAAGCUAAGGUUCUAGUCCAGGUGUCUUUGAGUUCUUUCCAUUGUUCUGUGGGAAGAAACGGGUGAUGGAGACAGAGUUAGGGGUAGGACUGGGAAGAAAGGAGAAAAAAGGAGAAAAUAAGACAGAAUAAGGAAAAACCUGAAGUCCUUGGACACCCAGUAGUCCAUGAAUAGGCUCUAAGUGAUCUAUGAACCCUUUAAAAUUAUACUCAAUUUUUAUGGGCUUUUUUCCUGAUAGGUUAAUUCUUUCAUGAGAUUUUCAAAGAGGUGCGUGACUCAAGAAAGAUUAUGAACCAACCACUGAGCCAUGGAGUUUGUAGUAUGUUCUUUUGAAGCUUUUAUAAUGGAUUUUUUUUUUCUUAAACAAGGGAAAGCGAGAGCAAAGCUUUACUUGACCCAAAUAGCCUAUGAAAGUCUGAUUAUAGACAACAUGAUGAAACAAACUAAUUUUCUCAGCUGUUUCUGUGAGAGCAGAAGGAGUUAUGGGUAUUCUGUUUUCUGUAGCUGGAAAUAGUUGUGAAAUAUUGAAGUUUAGCAGCUUUCCAGGACAGAGUGAUCCACACUGUUUUACAGAAUUUAAAAAGCACGGUUUGCUUUGAGAACCCUCUAUGUUGCCCUCAAAAUAACCUGGAGGAUUUGGGACAUGAGUGUUGCCCCAUGGUGUGGAAAAGGAUGAACGUUGAAAACAGGGUAGAGCUGGAGAAUCUGGGUUGUGGGGUCUAUUAUCCACUGAUAAUAUUGGGAGUCUAGGGCACAGUAGCCAAACGAGAUUGUUGCAGGCCGUUAUCUGGGCUGCCUCCUGUUUUUGUAAUAAACCCUUAUUUGGACACAAGCACCUUCAUUUAUUUACGUAUUGUCUUUGGUUGCUUGUGGUUACAAGGGAAGGGUUGUGUAGUUGUUACAGGGAUCCUAUGGCCUGAAAAGCCUAAAAUAUUUGCUCUCUGGGCUUCGAUGGAAAAGGUUGCCAAGCCUGGUCUAGAGUCUAAGCAUGUGAGGGAAACUUGGAAAGCCUUGUACUGAUUUUCACAUAUACCUUAUUUUAGAGCCUUUAUUUGUCAUAUGCCCACAAAUAUUGGCAAUCUGUGUGUACAUGCCGGCCAUAACUUGUAAACAUAGAACCAAAUUCUGCCCUGUGGACAAACUUUCCUUUGAUUUCAUGUGUUGAUAAUUUGAGUAACGUGUAUGCAUAUUGUUUAACUAAAAUUUAAUUUUGGCUCAUGUAUCAUAAUACAUUUCCAAUGGAAACUUUCAAAUUAAUGUAAGCAUUUUUUGACUUCAGAGAUUUUUUAUUUUUGAGACAGGGUCUCACUCUGUUGCCUAAAGCUGGAGUGCAGUGGUGCAAUCUAGGCUCACUGCAGUCUUGACCUCCUGGGUUCAGGCAAUUCUCCCACCUCAGCUUCCUGAGUAGCUCAGACUACAGGUGCACACUACCACACUGGGUUAAGUUUUUGAUUUUUUUUUUUUUUGGUAAAGACGAGGGCUCACUGUGUUGCCCAGGCUGGUCUCAAACUCCUGGGCUCAAGCGAUCCUCCUGCCUCAGCCUCCCUAAGUGUUGAGAUUACAGGUGUGAGCCACCAUGCCCGGCCAACAGAUUUUUAAAAAAUUCUAAAAACGUAAGAAAACAAAUUGAAGGACAAACUGAACUUUGCCAAUACAAAGAUCUCUAGCAAAUGAAUAAGAAAUAUGCUUAUGUGCAGUAUUAGUUGUAUAUUUCUGCAUAACAAAUUAUCCCAAAAUUUAGUGGCUCAAAAUAAUAAUCACUUAUUAUCUUUAGAGAACUAUUUUUUUUUUUUUUUGAGACACAGGGUCUCACUCUGUCACCCAGGCUGGAGUUCGGUGGCAUGAUCUUGGCUCACUGUAUCUUCCACCUCCUGGGCUCAAACAAUUCUUCCACUUCAGCAUCCUGAAUAGUUGGGACUACUGGUGUGUCACCAUAUUCGGUUAAUUUAAAAUUUUUUAAUAGAGACGAGGCCUCACUGUAUUGCCCAGGCUGGGCUUGAACUCCUGAGCUCUAGCAAUCCUUCUGCCUAGGCCUCUCAAAGUGUUGGGAUUAUAGGUGUGAGCCACUGUGCCUGGCAUAGAGAACAUUUUUAUACUUUAGACACUGUGCUUGGCAUAGAGAACAUUUUUUGUACUUUAAAAGCUAUCAUGACAGAACAGUUCAAAUUGGGUGACUCACUGGGAAAGAAUAACUGUUCUGGAAGCAAUUGAAAAAUUAAAAAUAGUAUCUUUACCUGUUGUGUUUUGAACUAUUAAUCAUUGUCCGCUGUAAUUUCCCCCACACAUUCUUUAAAGACAAUUUUCUUCCAAAUAGUACUGUAUAUCUGAGCAGUGCUUUAACAAAUAUUUUUGCUUGUAUAUUAUUUCAAACAACUGUAAGGUAGGUAGAGUAGGAAUUAUUAUCCAGCUUUACCUUUUCCUUUGUUUUCAAGUGUAAAACUUGAGGCCUAGGAACUUAAAGUGGCCCCUCCUGGUUACAUGGUUAGUGACAGAGCCAGGGUUAGGAUCCUACAAUUGUUAGUAACUGGAAUUACUCUUUAUUUUUGUAUUUUUUUAUGGAAGCAUGCAUUUGAAACAUUUCAGAGAGAUUAAAGAAUAUUAAUUUCUACUCAUGUGUAAAGCAAGGAUAAUAUUAUUCAUUUUGUAGGAUUG
RNAcentral lists this long non-coding RNA (5250 nucleotides) under Homo sapiens (human). RNAcentral describes it as "non-protein coding lnc-TMEM99-5:7". The record is from RNAcentral. Lineage: Eukaryota; Metazoa; Chordata; Mammalia; Primates; Hominidae.